CGCUUUGGCUUCGGCCAAGGAGUGGCGCACGGGUGAGUAGCGCGUGGGAACCUGCCCUCUUGUGGGGGAUAACCGCGGGAAACUGCGGCUAAUACCGCAUAAGCCCCCGGACUUGCUCCGGGGGGAAAGAUUUAUCGCGAGAGGAGGGGCCCGCGUCGGAUUAGCUUGUUGGUGGGGUAACGGCCUACCAAGGCGAUGAUCCGUAGCUGGUCUGAGAGGAUGAUCAGCCACACUGGGACUGAGACACGGCCCAGACUCCUACGGGAGGCAGCAGUGGGGAAUAUUGGACAAUGGGCGCAAGCCUGAUCCAGCAAUGCCGCGUGAGUGAGGAAGGCCUUAGGGUUGUAAAGCUCUUUCACCCGCGACGAUGAUGACGGUAGCGGGAGAAGAAGCCCCGGCUAACUUCGUGCCAGCAGCCGCGGUAAUACGAAGGGGGCGAGCGUUGUUCGGAUUUACUGGGCGUAAAGGGCGCGCAGGCGGCGGACCAAGUCAGGCGUGAAAGCCCCGGGCUCAACCUGGGAAUGGCGCCUGGGACUGGUGUGCUAGAGUUCGGGAGAGGAGCGUGGAAUUCCCAGUGUAGAGGUGAAAUUCGUAGAUAUUGGGAAGAACACCGGUGGCGAAGGCGGCGCUCUGGACCGAGACUGACGCUGAGGCGCGAAAGCGUGGGGAGCA
RNAcentral lists this ribosomal RNA (672 nucleotides) under uncultured Alphaproteobacteria bacterium. RNAcentral describes it as "bacterial SSU rRNA". It matches the Rfam family "Bacterial small subunit ribosomal RNA", at positions 67 to 770 of the family's 1533-position model. Lineage: Bacteria; Pseudomonadati; Pseudomonadota; Alphaproteobacteria. The record is from RNAcentral.